CCCCAUGGCGGGCCGACACGAGGCAGCCGCAAGGCUGGCCGGCUUGGUGUUUGCAUCGGUCUUCCACCCUCGUCGUCAGGCCCGCCGCCCUC
This 92-nucleotide non-coding RNA is filed under the name Cupriavidus taiwanensis. RNAcentral also lists the same sequence under 2 other names. The record is from RNAcentral. Lineage: Bacteria; Pseudomonadati; Pseudomonadota; Betaproteobacteria; Burkholderiales; Burkholderiaceae.